UAAACCCCGCCUGUUUACCAAAAACAUCACCUCUAGCAUUACUAUUAUUAGAGGCACUGCCUGCCCAGUGACACUAGUUAAACGGCCGCGGUAUCCUGACCGUGCAAAGGUAGCAUAAUCAUUUGUUCCUUAAUUAGGGACUUGUAUGAAUGGCCCCACGAGGGUUUAACUGUCUCUUACUUUCAAUCAAUGAAAUUGACCUUCCCGUGAAGAGGCGGGAAUAAAAUAAUAAGACGAGAAGACCCUAUGGAGCUUUAAUUUUAUUGUUCAACAUAACCAAAGUAUACCCCAACAGGAAUAACACUGGUUUAACUGGACAACAAAUUUUGGUUGGGGUGACCUCGGAGCAUAAUAAAACCUCCGAGAAAUUAAGCCAAGACGCACCUGUCAAAGCGACUCAUCUAUUGAUCCAAUCAUAUUGAUCAACGGACUAAGUUACCCUAGGGAUAACAGCGCAAUCCUAUUUAAGAGUUCAUAUCGACAAUAGGGUUUACGACCUCGAUGUUGGAUCAGGACACCCAAAUGGUGCAGCAGCUAUUAAAGGUUCGUUUGUUCAACGAUUAAAGUCC
Molecule: ribosomal RNA, 569 nt
Filed under: Sylvisorex vulcanorum (Volcano shrew)
Lineage: Eukaryota; Metazoa; Chordata; Mammalia; Eulipotyphla; Soricidae
Description: partial 16S ribosomal RNA
Rfam family: Bacterial large subunit ribosomal RNA
Source: RNAcentral